This 2174-nucleotide ribosomal RNA is filed under the name human gut metagenome. RNAcentral's name for it is "bacterial LSU rRNA". It matches the Rfam family "Bacterial large subunit ribosomal RNA", at positions 3 to 2272 of the family's 2925-position model. The record is from RNAcentral.
UCAAGCUACAAAGAGCGCAAGGGGAAUGCCUUGGCACUGGGAGCCGACGAAGGACGUAGCGAUCUACGAUAAGCCACGGUGAGCCGAAAGCAGGCAUCGACCCGUGGAUUUCCGAAUGGGGCAACCUGGCUGAAUAGAACUCAGUCAACAUACGGUGAAUAAAAUAGUCGUAUGUAGGGAACCGCCUGAACUGAAACAUCUAAGUAGGGCGAGGAAAAGAAAUCAACCGAGAUUCCGCAAGUAGUGGCGAGCGAACGCGGAAGAGGCCAAACCGAGAGUAGUAAUACUUUCGGGGUUCGGACAGAAUACGGCAUUGUAAAGGUUUAGUGGAAUGGAAUGGGAAGUCCAACCGAAGAAGGUGAGAGUCCUGUACACGAAAAGCCUGAACAGCCAUCUGUAUCCAGAGUACCGCCGGACACGUGAAACCCGGUGGGAAUAUGGGGGGACCAUCCUCCAAGCCUAAAUACUACCCAGUGACCGAUAGCGUAUAGUACUGUGAAGGAAAGGUGAAAAGAACCCCGGGAGGGGAGUGAAAAGAACCUGAAACCUUGUGCUUACAAGCACACAAAGCACGUCAACGUGUGAUGUGGUACCUUUUGUAGAAUGGUCCGGCGAGUGAAUGUAACUGGCGAGGUUAAGUUCUUAAGGAACGGAGCCGAAGCGAAAGCAAGUCUGAAUAGGGCGUCUUAGUCAGUUGUAUUCGACCCGAAACCGGGUGACCUAUCCAUGUCCAGGAUGAAGUUAAGGUAAAACUUGAUGGAGGUCCGAACCCACGGUCGUUGAAAUGCCCGGGGAUGAGAUGUGGAUAGCGGAGAAAUUCCAAUCGAACCCGGAUAUAGCUGGUUCUCUCCGAAAUAGCUUUAGGGCUAGCCUCGACUGAACAUUACCGGAGGUAGAGCACUGAAUGGGCUAGGGGCCGAGAGGUUACUGAACCCUAUCAAACUUCAAAUGCCGGAAAAUGAUAGUCGGGAGUCAGACUGCGUGAGAUAAGUUUCGUAGUCGAAAGGGAAACAGCCCAGACCCACAGCUAAGGUCCCAAAGUACGGUUAAGUGGAAAAGGAUGUGGAGUUGCACAGACAACCAGGAUGUUGGCUUAGAAGCAGCCACUCAUUAAAAGAGUGCGUAAUAGCUCACUGGUCGAGUGACUCUGCGCCGAAAAUUUAACGGGGCUAAAUCGUACACCGAAGCUUGGGAUGUAUCUAUGAUACAUGGUAGGAGAGCGUUGAAUGCGGGGUGAAGUCAGAGCGAAAGCGCUGGUGGACUGCAUUGAAGUGAGAAUGCCGGAAUGAGUAGCGAGAUUUAUGUGAGAAUCAUAAAGGCCGAAAGACUAAGGUUUCAGAAGGAAGGUUCGUCCGCUUCUGGUUAGCCGGGAGCUAAGGUGAGGCCGAAAGGCGUAGCCGAUGCACAUACGGUGGAGAUUCCGUAGCCGUCGAAAUAUUUAAGCAAAGGGACACUUAUGAAGGACAUGACCCGGGCGAUGGUAGCCCCGGGCGUAAGGGACUGAAAACAAGUAGGGAAGCAUGUUUGGAUUAAGGCGAGAAAAGCUUUGUGUAUAUAUGAGACGUCCGUACCGCAAACCGACACAGGUAGUCAGGAAGAGGAUUCUAAGGCCAACGGGAGAAGGGUAGUUAAGGAACUCGGCAAAUUGACCCCGUAACUUCGGGAUAAGGGGCGGUGCGUAAGCACCCGCAGUGAAUAGGUCCAGGCGACUGUUUAUCAAAAACACAGCUCUCUGCUAAAUCGAAAGAUGACGUAUAGGGGGUGACACCUGCCCGGUGCUGGAAGGUUAAGAGGAGGAGUGCAAGCUCCGAAUUGAAGCCCCAGUAAACGGCGGCCGUAACUAUAACGGUCCUAAGGUAGCGAAAUUCCUUGUCGGGUAAGUUCCGACCCGCACGAAUGGUGUAACGAUCUGGACGCUGUCUCAACUGCCCACCCGGCGAAAUUGUAGUACCGGUGAAGAUGCCGGUUACCCGCGGCAAGACGGAAAGACCCCAUGGAGCUUUACUGUAACUUGAUAUUGGGUCUUGGUAUUCUAUGUACAGGAUAGGCGGGAGACUAUGAAACAUACACGCCAGUGUAUGCGGAGUCACCCUUGGGAUACCGCUCUUAGAGUACUGAGAUUCUAACCUGCGGCCGUGAAUCCGGUCGGGGGACAUUGUCAGGUGGGCAGUUUG